CUGCCGUAGUCUUCCCUCACCAUUCACCAACGACGGCAACGAGUCUGGAGUCAGUGGAGUACUCGCCGGAGACCAGUGACCAAGACGACCACUCUCUGUCUCUCCCUCCGCAGUCCGGCAGAUUCGUCUGUCUCUCUCGACCGCGGUCUGACUCUCUCCCUCUGUCGUCAGUCAUCGUCGUCUCUCAUCGGCCACCACCCUGGUCUCUCGUCUCUCACCGCCGGCUCACUCUCUCCAUCCGUCGUCUGAAGUAUGACAGAUACCGGAUAUGCUUAUGCUUGUUUCACAUGCCUUGAUGGUCUCCAUCGUAUCAAAAUUCCUAUCACUCCAGGUUGCAAACAUGAAUUAACCGUUGAGCAUGUAUGUCCCCCUCAACUUCCAUCAUAUCCGGCACUCCUCAGUCAUAAUCAUGUUGUAUAUGUGGUUGGUGGCACAAAGGGAGCUAGCUUUGAAUUUAGUCGCGGGAUGUAUAUUUUCGAUCCCAGUAGGUUUCAAAAAUUAUCUAGGGAAAGUCACAAAUUAUCUAUGGAUAUGGGAAGUGAGUUCUGUCUCGACUACACCACACGGGAGGAUUUUGAAUCUAUGGUGGAACCACGGGUUAUUCGCGUAGCUGAGGAUAAGAUUUUCCUACUCUCAGUAAAUAAUCAUCAACAUUAUGAGCAUAGGGUCAAAGAGCAAUUGUGUUUUCAGUACUUUAACCCCAUUAGAGAUUACUUUGAAACCCUUCCAUCUCCCCCUCUCGCACAUGAUCAUGUACUUGGUUUUACUGUCACAUUAGGUCACUUUUUUUCUUAGCGGCCAUAUAUAUUUGUUUGUUAGUGACCAACGGAGUAAGUACCCUAAGAGUGUCUUUAGUUUCAACACCAAAUUCUCAAAAUGGGAGGAGAAGAUGUAUUUGUUGGAUAGAUUUGAUAAGAAACAAAUUCCUCUUCCUUUUAGUCACCAUGGUGACAUAGGACUUUCAAAUGAGUUUUCGGGAAAAACUCAUAUUCUGGUUGCUUUUUCUGGUACUGAGCUUUGUGCAUACCAAGUUAAAAUUCAUGACGGUGAUUUCGAACCCAUAUCUUACAGGGUUCUAAAGGAAAGUUGUUAUCCUGAAGGCAGGGAUAACUUUAUAAGGGAUGGAUAUAGAACUUAUCUGACACGGCUGGCUGAUUUGGGAGAUGGAAAAUUUUGUGCAGUGACUGGUUCUUAUAGUAUAAAUCUUUUAUUGUAUGUCUUCCAAAUUGAUUUUAAAGUUGAACAUGAUAUCCAAAACUCAACAAGUGGUGUUGGAGCCUCCUCAAGCCUCCUUUACUACAAGAAGUUGCAGCUUGGGGAUAAUAUCCAAUCUUUUUGUAUUGCCUCUGCCCCUCCAGAAGACAGCUCUGCCCCUCCUGAAGACCAAGACAUGUUGGGGAGCACAAGUAAAAGGGGGAGGAGUGAGGAUGAAGCCCUGUACAUGACUAAGACCCUCCGUUUCUUUUGAGGUGUGUUGAUGUGGGCAUGAUCAUGCUUGGUGCCUUGGACUGACCGUCUUUUUAAUUCUGCUUUAGUUGUCAAUGGCCUGUCAAGGGAAGCAAGGUUGAAACCAGAAGUUUUGUUGUUUUAACGAAUUGUGUUUAUGAACAUUUUCAUCACUUGUGACCUGCUCUUUUAUUGAAGCACGAAAUUGUAGUUAUAUGCCUUGGCACAGAGUAUUAACUAUCAACUGUUGUUUCGUUUCUAUUUUUUAUGACACAAAGCAUGUAACUGUAUUAUAUGGGAUGAGUCUGUUCUGGAGCUUAUGGAAUGCUAAAAAGUUAAUUUAGCUGUUUGUUAUGUAUAGAGAAAUGGUUACAAACUUGGCAUAUUUACUCUUUAACAGUAUAUUAUAUUGUACAUAUAUGUACUAAUUGCCCCAUCUAUAUGUGGAUGCAUUAUCUAUUCCUAUGAUAUUAAUUUACUAGUCUUUGGAAAUUUAGAUUUUAUUAAAACUAUGAAUUUCCCACUGAUAAUGGAGUCUGGAAGCAACAUGAGAAAGCCCCUGUUUUCCCUUUAGUACCUAAGGAGGACAAAAUGGAUGAAGAAGAGUUGGGGAAAAUGUUGAGAGAGCGCUACAAAGCUGGUUCUAGUUUUGCUAAAUUUGCAGAAGAUGGAUAUGAAAAGAAAUGAUCAAUUCAAGAGGACAUAUCUGUGCCCUCCUCCAAAGACCCUACCUACUAUGGAAAGUCAAAUGCAUGGUAUACGUUUUUCCGGUUGGUUGUGAAAGGCAUUCAGGUUUCUGCCUUAUGCAGAAAUAUGUGGACUUGGGAUUUCUGGGAGUGAAGCUCCAAAUAAUCUCCACUUUUGCUCUUGAUCAUGAGAAAGGCUUUGUUUAUAUUGAAGCAGAAGUGUUCUGUGCUGGUUGUAUUUUGUAAGUCAAGGAAGCAUUUGUGUGCAGGCUUUUAAAGGGCUCUGCAGUAUAUAUUCCAGUUCCAAGGAAUGAAAUUUCUCAACUGAUAUCUGCAAUGGAAUUUCUGAGGGCAUGUGGGCUCAUGUCAAGAAUGGCAAAUACAAGAGGCAUCUAUCGCAGGGUGGAGGAGUUGUUGCCAAGAAGCUAGGCUUAACUUCCGUUCAAUCACCAAGGCUAAUCCGCUCUACUGAGCUUGAUGAUUUUCUUCCUCUCAUCACAUAUCGCAAGGAUAGGAUCGUGAGACAAACGAGAUGGUUGAAGUUGUUGAUGGUAAGAUGCUGAAAGAAGGCUAUUUUAUAUAAGGUGUCUUUGUGCUUUUGGGGUGUAAUGCCUUCUGAAACUGAGCUCUUGAAGUUUGAGCCUUACAAGUAUAGGUAAUAUACUUGAAUUCUCCUUUCAUUGAAGCUAAGAUGUUAAUCUUUGCAGUACUGCAUUGGAUGGAAUUCGUGCACAGUACCCGUAACGCCUGAAGCCUUUGAAGGAGAUCCAUGCCCGAACGUCAUGAAGAAACUGUCUGCUGAGGCUGUAUGCAGUUAAUGGGGUACUCGUUUAGUUCCAUUCAUUCCACGAUUCGUUUAGUUCCAUUCUGUUUUCCAUUAUCAUUAAUUUUGACUUUGCCGGGAUGAAGUUGAACAGCUAUCUGACAAAAGACAACAAAAGUUGCAGAGAUGAUUGUGGAAAGGAUCAUGUUAAUGUAUAUGUGUAUAUGUCUGAAACUGCAAAACAAGAUUCUUUGAAAGAAUUGAUUGGGAAAACCCUCAAUGAGUAUAUGGAAGUGAUUUUAGAGUAUGUUAGGGUUUCAGAAUUUCAGUGUUGUAUGGUAGUGUAUUAAAUUGCAAGCAAUCAUUUCAUUGCUUUUAGGAUUCAGAAUUUAAACCUUCUACUACUACUAUGCAAUUACUACAUUAAAUUGCAAAUGCUUCAUUGUUUAUUGGAGCAAGGUGUAAAAGUACAAUGUUACAAUGACAUGAAAUCUCUCUUAUAUUGCA
Molecule: long non-coding RNA, 3402 nt
Organism: Ipomoea nil (Japanese morning glory)
Lineage: Eukaryota; Viridiplantae; Streptophyta; Magnoliopsida; Solanales; Convolvulaceae
Exons: 8
Source: RefSeq, a predicted model, not a curated record